GACGAACGCUGGCGGCGUGCUUAACACAUGCAAGUCGAACGGAAAGGCCCUGCUUUUGUGGGGUGCUCGAGUGGCGAACGGGUGAGUAACACGUGAGUAACCUGCCCUUGACUUUGGGAUAACUUCAGGAAACUGGGGCUAAUACCGGAUAGGAGCUCCUGCUGCAUGGUGGGGGUUGGAAAGUUUCGGCGGUUGGGGAUGGACUCGCGGCUUAUCAGCUUGUUGGUGGGGUAGUGGCUUACCAAGGCUUUGACGGGUAGCCGGCCUGAGAGGGUGACCGGCCACAUUGGGACUGAGAUACGGCCCAGACUCCUACGGGAGGCGGCAGUGGGGAAUAUUGCACAAUGGGCGGAAGCCUGAUGCAGCAACGCCGCGUGCGGGAUGACGGCCUUCGGGUUGUAAACCGCUUUCGCCUGUGACGAAGCGUGAGUGACGGUAAUGGGUAAAGAAGCACCGGCUAACUACGUGCCAGCAGCCGCGGUGAUACGUAGGGUGCGAGCGUUGUCCGGAUUUAUUGGGCGUAAAGGGCUCGUAGGUGGUUGAUCGCGUCGGAAGUGUAAUCUUGGGGCUUAACCCUGAGCGUGCUUUCGAUACGGGUUGACUUGAGGAAGGUAGGGGAGAAUGGAAUUCCUGGUGGAGCGGUGGAAUGCGCAGAUAUCAGGAGGAACACCAGUGGCGAAGGCGGUUCUCUGGGCCUUUCCUGACGCUGAGGAGCGAAAGCGUGGGGAGCGAACAGGCUUAGAUACCCUGGUAGUCCACGCUGUAAACGGUGGGUACUAGGUGUGGGGUCCGUUCCACGGGUUCCGUGCCGUAGCUAACGCUUUAAGUACCCCGCCUGGGGAGUACGGCCGCAAGGCUAAAACUCAAAGGAAUUGACGGGGCCCCGCACAAGCGGCGGAGCAUGCGGAUUAAUUCGAUGCAACGCGUAGAACCUUACCUGGGUUUGACAUGGAUCGGGAGUGCUCAGAGAUGGGUGUGCCUCUUUUGGGGUCGGUUCACAGGUGGUGCAUGGCUGUCGUCAGCUCGUGUCGUGAGAUGUUGGGUUAAGUCCCGCAACGAGCGCAACCCUUGUUCACUGUUGCCAGCACGUUAUGGUGGGGACUCAGUGGAGACCGCCGGGGUCAACUCGGAGGAAGGUGGGGAUGACGUCAAGUCAUCAUGCCCCUUAUGUCCAGGGCUUCACGCAUGCUACAAUGGCUGGUACAGAGAGUGGCGAGCCUGUGAGGGUGAGCGAAUCUCGGAAAGCCGGUCUCAGUUCGGAUUGGGGUCUGCAACUCGACCUCAUGAAGUCGGAGUCGCUAGUAAUCGCAGAUCAGCAACGCUGCGGUGAAUACGUUCCCGGG
Molecule: ribosomal RNA, 1343 nt
Filed under: uncultured bacterium
Lineage: Bacteria
Description: 16S ribosomal RNA
Rfam family: Bacterial small subunit ribosomal RNA
Source: RNAcentral